AUCUAGCCGAUGAGUCCCAAAUAGGACGAGACUUGCGUCUUGAAU
Molecule: non-coding RNA, 45 nt
Filed under: Schistosoma margrebowiei
Lineage: Eukaryota; Metazoa; Platyhelminthes; Trematoda; Strigeidida; Schistosomatidae
Source: RNAcentral